GGGGUCGACUUGGCUUCGACGUGGGUCGCGAAACAGAGUAGGGCAUGCCGAGCACCAGUAAGCUCGUUAAUCCACUGGAAAACUACAAACGCCAACGACGAGCGUUUCGCUUUAGCCGCUUAAGCGGUAAGCCGCUGCACUGAUUUGUCUUUGGGUCAGGUAGGGUAAAACCUACAGCAGCGUCAUUUACAAAGAAUCGGUUUUGGCUGGGUCACUCAGUCAACGCUUAAAUUAAUGUGAAUCGCUAAGGGAUGGCCUGUUAACCGGCAUGGCCCGAGGCUAAAACCUUAAAGUUGGUUGACUAAGCAUGUAGAACUGCCUGCAGAGGGCUUGCGGACGGGGGUUCAAUUCCCCCCGACUCCACCA
This 366-nucleotide transfer-messenger RNA is filed under the name Burkholderiales. RNAcentral describes it as "Pusillimonas_A sp002236805 Standard tmRNA". It matches the Rfam family "transfer-messenger RNA". Rfam says of the family: Bacterial tmRNA, also known as 10Sa RNA or SsrA, is named for its dual tRNA and mRNA-like properties. Lineage: Bacteria; Pseudomonadati; Pseudomonadota; Betaproteobacteria. RNAcentral also lists the same sequence under 2 other names. The record is from RNAcentral.